AUUGAACGCUGGCGGCGAUGCCUUACACAUGCAAGUCGAACGGCAGCGGACCUUCGGGUGCCGGCGAGUGGCGAACGGGUGAGUAAUAUAUCGGAACGUACCUUUCAGUGGGGGAUAACGUAGCGAAAGUUACGCUAAUACCGCAUAUUCUGUGAGCAGGAAAGCAGGGGAUCGCAAGACCUUGCGCUGAUUGAGCGGCCGAUAUCAGAUUAGCUAGUUGGUGAGGUAAAGGCUCACCAAGGCGACGAUCUGUAGCGGGGUCUGAGAGGAUGAUCAGCCACACUGGGACUGAGACCACGUCGCCAGUCCU
Molecule: ribosomal RNA, 310 nt
Filed under: uncultured bacterium
Lineage: Bacteria
Description: bacterial SSU rRNA
Rfam family: Bacterial small subunit ribosomal RNA
Source: RNAcentral